GACACUAUGGCGGAGUGGUUAACGCGGUGCCCUGCUAAGGCAUUUCCUUCGGGAGCGCAGGUUCGAAUCCUGCUGGUGUCG
This 81-nucleotide transfer RNA is filed under the name Histoplasma capsulatum G186AR. Its description in RNAcentral is "tRNA-Ser (GCT) (tRNA-Ser-GCT-2-1)". It matches the Rfam family "tRNA". From Rfam's summary of the family: Transfer RNA (tRNA) molecules are approximately 80 nucleotides in length. Their secondary structure includes four short double-helical elements and three loops (D, anti-codon, and T loops). RNAcentral also lists the same sequence under 8 other names. The record is from RNAcentral. Lineage: Eukaryota; Fungi; Ascomycota; Eurotiomycetes; Onygenales; Ajellomycetaceae.